CAGAUCCUAUUUGCGCCUGCGCGGGACGGGAGGCUUCGGUGUUGCCGUUUCCCCCUGCUAUUUCCGUUUCCGCGCUUCAAGCGGAUCUCUUCCGCUUAUGGCGCCCGCUGGGAGUGUCUUAUCAGCAGCUUAUACCGCGGAAACUUUAACCUGCGUUUUCCCGUAGAAAUUUUCCUCUCUAGAUUUUGAUUCAGAGUCAUCGAUGUCUUCACACCACCCUCUGUGGCAUGAACAGAGGUGGUAAUGAAGCAUUUCUUAGAAAACAAGGCUGGACCACUGUCUGUGUGAUUUCCACCUUUCUUGCUGACACCGUUCUGCAUGUUUUGACUACCUCCAGGUCAAGAAGAGUAAGGAUAGCCUCUGUGUCUGAGGAGGUCCCUGUGCAUUAUGAGGAAUUGGUUCUAGGAAGAAGGGAGAGUGAAGAGGAACAGAGAGGACCCUCCAGAUCCAGUACGGGCCAACUAAGGGAACUUGGAUGCUCCUGUUCAUGUCCCUUUCUCCAUCACUCAGACUCACCCCAUCCCACCCUGAAUGCAGGUUCCUUUCCCCUCGGUUAUUUUGUGCAUCUCAGAUGAUGACAUGUAUUGUGACUUUAUUCUAUCACAUAUGACUUUUACAUUAUAUCAUAGAAAAAGUUACUUACAUAAAUUACUUAAUGGUGGAUUAGUCAUAGUUAAAAUGUUGUCAGCUUGGUAAACAAAUGAAAUUAUCACACUUUAGUUUUUCUUCGUUGAUCAUUUAUGAAGAUUAGUGUCUCCUCAUUUCAUGGAUGUCACAACUACAUGUUCUUAAGUAGGGUGUAUGCUUGGGGUGUUGUGUUUUCCCUGUUAAUGUUGGAUACUCCAGUGUUCAGCAAACUAUAAACCUAUCAACACACAUUUGAAAAAUCCAGUUGGUUUGUGUUUUAUUUCGUGUAUCCUGUCUUUACGAUAUUAUAUCUUUUCU
Molecule: long non-coding RNA, 945 nt
Organism: Pan troglodytes (chimpanzee)
Lineage: Eukaryota; Metazoa; Chordata; Mammalia; Primates; Hominidae
Exons: 3
Source: RefSeq, a predicted model, not a curated record